RNAcentral lists this ribosomal RNA (460 nucleotides) under uncultured bacterium. Its description in RNAcentral is "partial 16S ribosomal RNA". It matches the Rfam family "Bacterial small subunit ribosomal RNA", at positions 338 to 795 of the family's 1533-position model. The record is from RNAcentral.
CCUACGAGUGGCAGCAGUGAGGAAUAUUGGUCAAUGGGCGCGAGCCUGAACCAGCCAAGUAGCGUGAAGGAUGACUGCCCUACGGGUUGUAAACUUCUUUUAUAAAGGAAUAAAGUGAGGCACGUGUGCCUUUUUGUAUGUACUUUAUGAAUAAGGAUCGGCUAACUCCGUGCCAGCAGCCGCGGUAAUACGGAGGAUCCGAGCGUUAUCCGGAUUUAUUGGGGUUAAAGGGAGCGUAGAUGGGUUGUUAAGUCAGUUGUGAAAGUUUGCGGCUCAACCGUAAAAUUGCAAUUGAUACUGGCAGUCUUGAGUACAUGUGAGGUAGGCGGAAUUCGUGGUGUAGCGGUGAAAUGCUUAGAUAUCACGAAGAACUCCGAUUGCGAAGGCAGCUUACUAAACUGCCACUGACAUUGAUGCUCGAAAGUGUGGGUAUCAAACAGGAUUAGAUACCCGAGUAGUC